Molecule: long non-coding RNA, 2553 nt
Filed under: Homo sapiens (human)
Lineage: Eukaryota; Metazoa; Chordata; Mammalia; Primates; Hominidae
Description: HSALNT0321742
Source: RNAcentral
CACUUCCCUGAAACUGCGUUCUCAAUAAUCACUUAAUCAACGAAUCCACAGCAGCUUUUUCACAAUCCUCAUAUUUCUCAUCCUUCCUACCACUGAUGAGAUCUCCUCCCUUUUUGAAACUACUUUAUUUUGCCUUCUGUGCCACUGCACUAUCCUAAAUCUUCCUCCUUGUUUAACUACCACUUCUCUACCUUCUUGGCUGUUUUCUUUUCCUGUUCCUUCCAUCUAAGGCUAUAUUCACAGGAGUUCUGUUCUCAGUCUCUCUACCUCUCUGCAUUCUCUCCCAAUUGAUGCACCCCUAUGAUUUCACUACCAUGGGAUGUUAACUCCCAAAUCUCCACCUCUAGUUCUAAACACCACCACCUCAUCGCUUGAGUCCUGCCUUUUCUGAUUGCUGAAGAUGUUCACUUGGUUGUUCAACCAGCACCUCAAACUUACCUUGUCCUAAAUCAAACCUGCAGUUUCAGGGAAGUGAAACUGCAAAAGGUAAAAGUAAAUGGUGGAAGAAAUGAAUAUAGACUAUUCAAAAAUUAUAAUGUUUUGUGUAAAAGAGAGUGGAGGAGCAGCUAUGAAGGGUGUUGCUUGAAUCAUGUGAUUCUUAAUAUUCAUCUUAAUAUUUCCACUUUUAUGAAUUAAUGUCACCAUCAUUCUUUGAAUUGCCAAGGUCAAAAUAUUUGGAUCAUCUUUCCUGUCUCAGCACAGUGUUCUGUGCACAAGCUCUGGAUGGUGAACUUGUAUCCUCAUUCUUUCACUGCAUGGCAGUGACCUUGAGCAAGUCACUGGGCUUCUCCAGGCUUCAGUGCGGCCUUCAUAACAUAGUUAUGAAGUUUACAUGAGAAAACAGUUGUGCAGUUUACAUGAGAAGAUGUACAUAAGGGCACAAAGAGUUUAGCAUGUGGCAAACUAUGAUGAGGAUGACAGAAAAAGACUCUCAAUGAUCUGUUCACACUUUUCUCAUUCCUUACAUAACUGUUGUCACAACUCACAUGGCCCUUACCUAUGUCAUCGCAAAUACAUUUAAACACAGGAGGACAACCUAGGUUGUAAAGUGUUAAAGUGCCUCAAAUUUUCAUUAAUCUCAACCAAGCCAUUCCAAACCAAGACCUACAACAUACAUCUACUUACAUAUCCAUGUGCUUUUCUCUCAUUGUAUGCUAAAUAAUGCAAAGAGAAUUCAGGAACUGACCUUAUUUGACCCCAAUUUCAAACAGCAUUUUAUAAGCCAUAUGGUCAGAAAUUAAAAUCACUCUCAAUUCUUGAUAAUACAGAUGAAAAACCCAGAUUUAGAUUCCAUUGCUUGUUUUGGAAAACAAAAAGUUAUACUCCCUAUGUUUAAAGAAAACUCUUGUAACUUCCAGUCUGACAUUAUUGCUAUAACAAACACAUUAUUUAUAAGCCAGCCUAGAAAUAACUUUUGGCUCAAACUUUGGCAGAAAAUUUAUUUUGUUUUUUUUUUUUAAGACAAUAUUGACUUUAGCUAUUUCUGCUUGUGUACAGAAUUAAAGAGAAAAUCUCUGCAUAAUCUGACAUUUUGAUAUUAAUAUUUGGAAAGAAAGUAGUCUACAAGUGGCUCUCAGAUGAGGCCUGUAACCAUUCUAGAAUUCACACAGAAAAACUGGAUGCCUGGGACACAGUCAUGCAGAUUUAAGGAUCCCUUUACACUCCUACAAUUUAAGAGGUGAGAAGAGAGUAGUGCUGGCCUGUAAAGCCAUCCAUUGACAGUUGGGGACACUGAGCCUCAGGGAGUCACAUGAUUUGGCUGUAAGCUCACACCUAGUGAGAGGACAAGGAGAUUUAGGACCCAGCUUUCAAUUCCUAACCUAUACACGUUCCAUUACUUAGAGUUAAAAAAUCAGGCUUAUUAACUUAAUUUCCAUUUUCAAAAGCAAUCAUUUCUAAUUACAAGUUGAGCAUCCCAAACCUAAAAAUCUGAAAUCCAAAAUCCUCUAAUGAGCAUUUCCUUUUGAGUGUCAUGCUGCUGCUCAGAGAAUUUUGGAUUUUGAAACAUUUUUGAGUUUGAGAUUUUUGGAUUUGGACUGCUCAACCAUUAAGUAUAAUGCACAUGUUCCAAAAAUCUGAAAAAAAAUGCAAAAUACAAAACACUUCUGGUCUCAAGCAUUUCAUGUAAGGGUUACCCAAACUGCAAUGGGAUUUUUUUUAAACAUUCUUUUAAACCAAGGUAGUGGUUGUAUUUAAAGUAUCUAUCAUGCUUUGAAAGCAUAUUUUUUUAAAGUUCAUUUUUGAGAGAGACAACACAGAUUUACAAAAAAAACCCCAAAAGCUUAAAAAGCAUUGAUGAAAAGGUAGCUCAUUUUCAAACUUUAAAUGGUGAGUAAAGUAAUUCAGCAACCCAAACCAGUAUUUCUUGAACCAGUCUUUAAAAUUUUAAGUAAUUAAAAAUUUAAAGCCAAAUGAUACAUAUUUGUACUAUCUUAUGAUUUAGAACUGUUACCAUACUGCACUACAUUGCAUCUUUCUUGCCAUUUGAACCAUUAGUCACUAGGAAACCUCAAGAAACUCACAGCUGCUCUCUCCUGCACGUGUGAAAUUGAU